This 1681-nucleotide small RNA is filed under the name Arabidopsis thaliana (thale cress). RNAcentral's name for it is "ATSL043390". The record is from RNAcentral. Lineage: Eukaryota; Viridiplantae; Streptophyta; Magnoliopsida; Brassicales; Brassicaceae.
UAUUAUAUUUUUAUGAAACCAUGAUACAAAAUACCUAUAUAUUACCAAGUAAAAUACAAAUUAAAAGAUAGUUUCAUACUACUCUUGUACUUAUAACUUUGUGAAUUCUUCACACUCUUUAGACCUCCAACUUUUGAAACUUCUUCUCCUUCAUCAUCAACACAUGAACAAGAAAAAGAAAACAUCAUAUCAUUGGAUAUAAAGUCUAUGCUUACUUCAUCACUUUUACAAAUUCGACUAACCAUGUAAUUUUUAAUGUUGUAUAAUAUCACCGAUGACGUAUUCUUGUAUCACAUGGAUGUAAACCUACAUCACAACAACAUUCACAACAUCACAAAUUGUUUAAUGUACAAGAAAUAAAUAAAUAAAUGUUAAGCAAAGAGUACAGAGAAAUUGAAAUUGACAAGAAAAGUUGGUUUGUGUACCUAUGUUUUGUCCCCAAAUCUUCUUCUCCUAACUCCUAGUUUAAAGUUCUGUCACUUGAAAAGAUUUUAUAGAUUAUAACCUUAAACAAAAUAAACAUAUGCAAUCGAUUUUUUCAUAUAUUUGCUUACAAAAGCAUCAAAUUUUGGCUUUUAUUCAGGACUAACAAUAUCCAAUCGUCCUUAGGAAACACAUCAAACAAAAAAACAUAAGUGACAGAUACAACUUAGCUCCUUCGCGAAUCAAGUACAAAGGCAAGCAAAAGACUUCCACUUGAUAACUACUCCCAAACAAGUAACAAGAUUAAACUCGAAUCUGAUUUCACCUCAACUUGAUUCGUCACCGUGACAGAUUCCUCCCUUCUACUGUCCAAGAGCCUCAGAUCCAACGCUCCGACGAAAAAAUUGUAUCCAUUUCCCAACAAUCCCUCCCUUUCAUCUCUGAGAACAUGAAUUCCUUCAAAGAUCGAACCAAAGACAUUCUUAGCAUCAUUGUGGCUCAAUUAAUCGAAUUAGAAAAAUAAACACACAUGAAAAUUAACAAACUCGUUAGAAUCAUGGAUGAAAACACAAAUCAGUGAACUCUAAAUCAAAAUCUCAAACACUAAUAAUAAGUCGGAAAAAACUUACCAACUGAGAUAUAGAAACGGCGACAGAUCUAAGAGACGGUGACGAAGACGACGCGGCUAAAAAAGAUGACACGGACAUAGGAGAUCCCUUGGAACCGUCAGAGAAUUAGUAAUUCAGCUCCGUUAGAGCAUGAGCGACGACGAGAUCUGGAUAAAUAAAAUUAGAUCUGAAAAAAGAAAUUGGGAGAAGAAAAGGAAUGAAGAAGAAGAGGUGAAGAAGAUGAGAAAAUAGAAGAAUUAACGAAACAAUUGAGUUGGAGGAAGAAGAGGAAGAGGUGAGUGAAAUCUAAAGAAAACUAGACCUAAACUUCAUUGGUAAAUAUUUUUAAUGUAUUAAAAGAUUUUAUUGGAGCCCAAUUUUUACUUAGGCGGGCAAAUGAAUUAUCUUUUCCGUGUGGACAAUGAAUAUCGUUUAAAAUAUACCAAUACUAUGAAUACUACGGGUUGGAAAGGUAACCGCGAUUUUUAUUGUGCAGGAAAAGCGUUAUUGUAGUGCGGUACGGUUCAACUACGGUACGUGAGGGAAAAAUAUAUUUGUCGGAUAAGUGCGGUUUGUACAAAAUAAGUGGUACAGAAAAAUGUUUGAUUGGUGAAAAAACUAUUUGCGGUGCAGAUUAUAUAUAUCUAUAU